GAUGAACGCUGGCGGCGUGCCUAAUACAUGCAAGUCGAGCGAACAGACGAGGAGCUUGCUCCUCUGACGUUAGCGGCGGACGGGUGAGUAACACGUGGAUAACCUACCUAUAAGACUGGGAUAACUUCGGGAAACCGGAGCUAAUACCGGAUAAUAUAUUGAACCGCAUGGUUCAAUAGUGAAAGACGGUUUUGCUGUCACUUAUAGAUGGAUCCGCGCCGCAUUAGCUAGUUGGUAAGGUAACGGCUUACCAAGGCAACGAUGCGUAGCCGACCUGAGAGGGUGAUCGGCCCCACUGGAACUGAGACACGGUCCAGACUCCUACGGGAGGCAGCAGUAGGGAAUCUUCCGCAAUGGGCGAAAGCCUGACGGAGCAACGCCGCGUGAGCGAUGAAGGUCUUCGGAUCGUAAAACUCUGUUAUUAGGGAAGAACAAAUGUGUAAGUAACUAUGCACGUCUUGACGGUACCUAAUCAGAAAGCCACGGCUAACUACGUG
RNAcentral lists this ribosomal RNA (497 nucleotides) under uncultured bacterium. RNAcentral describes it as "partial 16S ribosomal RNA". It matches the Rfam family "Bacterial small subunit ribosomal RNA", at positions 28 to 507 of the family's 1533-position model. The record is from RNAcentral.